AGCCGAAACAGGGGAAAAUCCCCUGUUUGGCGGGAUUGGCCGCCCGCUACUGAUGAGGCAGGCCAGA
Molecule: non-coding RNA, 67 nt
Filed under: Lachnospiraceae bacterium
Lineage: Bacteria; Bacillati; Bacillota; Clostridia; Lachnospirales; Lachnospiraceae
Also listed under: 1 other name
Source: RNAcentral